AGUUACCCUGGUUAAAUUUACCAUUUUUAAAAUCCAGUGCGAACAAGGCUUUAGGCAAGUUUAACUGUAGGUGCUAUCUAUUAUAGUUCAUUUUGAAGUAUAAUACCCAUAGGGAUUAAACAAGUCACGAAUUAAAGACCUCUCCAAUUAAUGACAACUUUUCUGUGGUCCCAAAUUAGCAGAUGUCUUGUCUUUAUUAUUAUAAUUAGAGACCAAAUCUGCUAAAGACCAUGGUAAACCCAGGUCCCAAAAGUGGUCUUUAGGUGGAGAGAGAUCUGUCAUUGUUAAGCAAAUACACAUGGGACUGAUACUGUAUAUUAAAAUUACAUUUGAUCGUCAAUUAUCAUUUAAAAUCAUCAUUUAAUAUGCUGUCAAUACUUGGUAACUGUAAUGCUAUGCUUUAGAAUGGUUUAAUACUAUUUAGUACUAUACUUCAGUUUUGGGAUGGGCGGGGGUUAGUUGUAGCAGGGCACACAAGCAGAAAAGAGUAGUUUAAUAAGAUAUGAACAUUUUGUAGAUUAUAUGUAUGCUAUUUCAUAGUGGAUAUGUUAAUGGUAUUACUAUGUAAUCUGAUUUUUAGGUUUAAGAAAAGAGCACUCGUUAAGUAAUCCCUAUGAUAUUGUUUUGUUUUAUACCGUAAUAAAUAAAUCAAAGUGCAUAUUUGCACCACUUUUUGUCUGACAGAUAUUGUAGUGCACAAUGCAAAUAUCUUUUGCUCUGAAAGCCUAUGUGUGAAAUUGAAAUGGGUGCUUUUAACAAAUUAUGGUUUUAUGAUGAUACAUAGACAUCUGACUUGCAUGAAUGAAUAUUUUUAUUAGCUCUAUCUGAAAACCAUUUUACAUUUUCAGGGUUGUAGCUGUAGAAAACUAAGGGUUGGUGAUAGACAUUUUAAAGAUGGGUGGGUGAUAACAUUAGUAAACUCCAAAUAAUAAUGGAUUUUAAGAAUAGAAAAAUGGGUUAAUAAGGGUGGGCGAAGGGCCAGGAAAUUAGCUUUAGACUAGGUGGAAAACUUAAGGCUGGGUGACCUCCCAUAAAUACAUCCCUGAUUUGCAAAUGCUCAUGUGCUCUUUCUAUUAAUAUUAUUGUAAUUACUAAUAAAAUACUUUUAUUUUUAGGAAUAAUUAUGAAGUUUACAAAGCAUGAAGUGAAGAGAGAAAAUGGUACAGUAACUUGGAAUUUGGUUGUUUGGUAUAUAAUUUUUGUAAAAUAUAGCCUGUUAAAGCCAGGGUCCGAAGGGGAACAAAUUGUUGUUUUUUUUUACAUCUGAUUUCAAAGAUACAAAAUUGUGUUUGACAAGAGUAAUGACAUACAGAUUUUUAAUACUACUUAAAAAUGGUGGAGGAAGAUGUGGUUACACCCCUUUUCCUUCAGUUUUUUAAAUAUUGAAAAUCUAUCCUCCCAUUAACCAUUCUCAAAUUUGUACUUGUUUAAAUAAAAUUCUGAUUUUAUUUAUUUAUUUUUUUUUAUAGUUUUAUAUGUUUUUCUUCUGUCAAAUUGUAUUUUCACAUGGCUAACAGGAAUACAAUAUAGUCUAAUUAAAGUAUAUGUGUGAUGUUUCCAAAUACUGCGACCAUUUAAAGCUAAUUUAUUAUAUCAUACACAAGUACAAAUGUUGGAUGUCUCAUUAAUGUGUUCGUGUUACACACUAUCAUGUGUUGCAAUGAUGUUUGCAUAGUUCAACAGAUUGGACAUGAAGAAUAAGCCAUAGGAUUUCGCCCCUAGCUGAGCAACACAUUAAGUUAUAUAACAUUUGAAUUGUAUAUAAAUCUGACAUGGUUUUUCCUUCUUUCCCAAAGGCAAGUCAGAAAAUAAGACUCUGUCCUGAUUAUUCUUCAGAAAGACAAUGCAGCAGUGUCAAGUGUAAAAGAAACUGAAUCCCAGAAUAUGGCAUGUUCCUGACAAGUUAGUAGGACAAAAGAAGGUCUUGUGGCUGUUCAGGGAUCAGUUGUAGGUUUUAUCAAGCGAUUGGUUCUGGAGAGGGUUUGUGGAGGAUUAGAUGUUGAUUGGCAAAAUAACAUUCAGCCAUUGUAUUUGAAACAGUUUAAAGAGCAUUAUUGGAACAUCUUUGUCUACAGUGAUUGGUUGGACACAAUUUGCUAUAACCUGACAUUAUUUUGGUGAACAUCAGUUAAUCAAAGAUUUAUAUGGCGUUCGUAUCUAUCAUUAAUAGGGAGAUGUUUGCGGCACAUCAUGGUAAGUGGUAU
Molecule: long non-coding RNA, 2204 nt
Organism: Anneissia japonica
Lineage: Eukaryota; Metazoa; Echinodermata; Crinoidea; Comatulida; Comatulidae
Exons: 6
Source: RefSeq, a predicted model, not a curated record